Small nucleolar RNA from Pyrus x bretschneideri (Chinese white pear), 88 nucleotides. RefSeq annotates it as small nucleolar RNA snoR97. The record is from RefSeq and is a predicted model, not a curated record. NCBI's taxonomy places the organism in Eukaryota, Viridiplantae, Streptophyta, Magnoliopsida, Rosales, Rosaceae. The transcript has a single exon.
UUGUCCUUUUUCGAUUGGGUAAAGUGUUGUCAUCAGCUUCAUCUUGUGUUACUGGUCAAGACUGGAGUUAAACAACAACACUACAUCU